This 800-nucleotide ribosomal RNA is filed under the name Neosulcatispora agaves. Its description in RNAcentral is "LSU rRNA". It matches the Rfam family "Eukaryotic large subunit ribosomal RNA", at positions 68 to 887 of the family's 3401-position model. Lineage: Eukaryota; Fungi; Ascomycota; Dothideomycetes; Pleosporales; Phaeosphaeriaceae. The record is from RNAcentral.
ACAGGGAUUGCCCUAGUAACGGCGAGUGAAGCGGCAACAGCUCAAAUUUGAAAUCUGGCUCUUUCAGAGUCCGAGUUGUAAUUUGCAGAGGGCGCUUUGGCGUUGGCAGCGGUCCAAGUUCUUUGGAACAGGACGUCACAGAGGGUGAGAAUCCCGUACGUGGUCGCUAGCCUUCGCCGUGUAAAGCCCCUUCGACGAGUCGAGUUGUUUGGGAAUGCAGCUCUAAAUGGGAGGUAAAUUUCUUCUAAAGCUAAAUACUGGCCAGAGACCGAUAGCGCACAAGUAGAGUGAUCGAAAGAUGAAAAGCACUUUGGAAAGAGAGUCAAAUAGCACGUGAAAUUGUUGAAAGGGAAGCGCUUGCAGCCAGACUUGCCUGUAGUUGCUUAUCCGGACUUUUGUCCGGUGCACUCUUCUGCGGGCAGGCCAGCAUCAGUUUGGGCGGUUGGAUAAAGGUCUCUGUCAUGUACCUCCUUUCGGGGAGGCCUUAUAGGGGAGACGACAUGCAACCAGCCUGGACUGAGGUCCGCGCAUCUGCUAGGAUGCUGGCGUAAUGGCUGUAAGCGGCCCGUCUUGAAACACGGACCAAGGAGUCUAACAUCUAUGCGAGUGUUUGGGUGUCAAGCCCAGACGCGUAAUGAAAGUGAACGGAGGUGGGAACCCUUUGGGUGCACCAUCGACCGAUCCUGAUGUCUUCGGAUGGAUUUGAGUAAGAGCAUGGCUGUUGGGACCCGAAAGAUGGUGAACUAUGCUUGAAUAGGGUGAAGCCAGAGGAAACUCUGGUGGAGGCUCGCAGCGGUUCU